This 274-nucleotide ribosomal RNA is filed under the name uncultured bacterium. RNAcentral describes it as "partial 16S ribosomal RNA". It matches the Rfam family "Bacterial small subunit ribosomal RNA", at positions 523 to 796 of the family's 1533-position model. The record is from RNAcentral.
AUACAGAGGGUGCGAGCGUUAAUCGGAAUUACAGGGCGUAAAGCGCGCGUAGGCGGCUUGGUCAGUCGGAUGUGAAAGCCCUGGGCUCAACCUGGGAAUUGCAUUCGAUACUGCCAAGCUAGAGUAUGGGAGAGGGAAGUGGAAUUUCCGGUGUAGCGGUGAAAUGCGUAGAUAUCGGAAAGAACACCAGUGGCGAAGGCGACUUCCUGGCCCAAUACUGACGCUGAGGUGCGAAAGCGUGGGGAGCGAACAGGAUUAGAAACCCCAGUAGUCC